UACGUAGGGGGCAAGCGUUGUCCGGAUUCAUUGGGCGUAAAGAGCGUGUAGGCGGUCAGGUAGGUCGGUUGUGAAAACUGGAGGCUCAACCUUCAGAGGUCGACCGAAACCAUCUGGCUAGAGUCCGGGAGAGGAGAGUGGAAUUCCUGGUGUAGCGGUGAAAUGCGCAGAGAUCUGGAAGAACACCAAAGGCGAAGGCAGCGUCCUGGAUCGUUACUGACGCUCAUGUGCGAAAGCCAGGGGAGCGAACGGG
This 253-nucleotide ribosomal RNA is filed under the name uncultured bacterium. RNAcentral describes it as "partial 16S ribosomal RNA". It matches the Rfam family "Bacterial small subunit ribosomal RNA", at positions 524 to 776 of the family's 1533-position model. The record is from RNAcentral.